UUCUGGGAAGACCACCCUGAAUGCACAUGGUCUCAUUCAAUCUCAGAAUCUCAGCAGGGUUGGGCCUGAGGAGCACUUGAAUGGGACCAGGAAGGCUCCCGCCCAUCUUUGCAUUCGGGCCACUGAGGAAU
Molecule: ribosomal RNA, 131 nt
Filed under: Saimiri boliviensis boliviensis (Bolivian squirrel monkey)
Lineage: Eukaryota; Metazoa; Chordata; Mammalia; Primates; Cebidae
Source: RNAcentral